CCAUUUUGAAGUAAUAUUUGCCAAGUGCUGGGCUUCCGGCGUGGCUGGGAUGGCUUCUCUCUGCCUUUGAAAAGGAAGGUCAGGAAAUUUAGGAUGAACAAAAGGAGGUCUGUUAUUGGCGAAGCAUGCUUAAACAAAGUCUAUCUGAAGCACAUUUCCACUUGUCAGCCAGAACUCUGAUGAGGCAAUAUAUCAUUACAGCAAAGGAGCCCUGAUGAUGAACUACUACAGUAUAUCUUCAAACCGGCACUGUUCACUGUAAUGCAUGCUUACUAUGAUGCAUCAUCAAGGGUUUACUUGGCCAGGAUGUGAGACCAGAGAACAGAUGUUAUUCUGUGAGCAUUAUUAAUGGUUCGCCAUAGGAUGGCUUUUGGAAUAAACUGGAGAAAUAAAUACCGAAGCGGUGAGGACCACAGCAAUUUCAAGACAUUUCACUGAAGGCAGACAUGUUCCAUCUGAGAGGCAAUCACAUUUUAUUUGCAUGUCUUUUAUCUAUUCAUUUGAGGUGGAGACAGAAGGUUCUGGCUGCCUGAGGGAAGAAACUCCCUGAUUGGUUACUGUAUCUCUUUGGAACUGGAUAAAAGGGAGGGUUGAACAGUGAGGAGGAAACAGCAGCAGGAGAGUUCUGGUUCCCUGAAGAAGAGCUGUUGCUCAAAAUGUGCUGGAAUCUCUAAAUAAAAUCCUUAUUUUUGCACCAAUUGAUUAUUUUUUCUUAUGUAUGGAAUCACACCUAAAUUAUGCCCCUACAUGAAGCAAUACCAUGAAAGUGGAAAAUUCGCACAAGGAAUGGAUCUGAGUAGAACUUGUCCCACUGAUCUGCGUGGGUGUGGUAGCCUGCCUACAUAUCAGCUUUUGAAACAGAUUUGAACACACAAGACCAAAAUGCCCUGGCAUGAACCAAGAAUGGAAACUGGUUCUUCUAUGCAGAAGUCAAGGAACCUCACCUCGACAUUUCAACCAAAAUUCCAUGGCAACUCUUGGCUGGACCUGAGACUGAUUCAAGCACUGGAACAGGAUAAGCAAUCUGUGUUGUUGUUUUCUUUCUGUAUAGCUAAACUACAGUAUGUUUGUUCCCGUAAAUGAGCAGGUUCACACAUAAUGCGGAACCUACUUGCAGUCCUGGUCACCCCAUUGUCUGUGAUUGUGUGAACCCACCCUAGGCAAGCACUGUAUGUUCCCUCAGGAACCUAGAUGUGUAAUGAAGAAUUGGAGUUGGCUCCAGCUUCCAGAAGUAGUAGUUCAUGCUACUUCUGAACACACAGAGGCUGUUCUCACAUGCAGGCAAAACCAGGCUAACGAAGCCAAGCCCAGUUUUGCCUGCGUGUGAGAACCACUGAGAUUGCGCACGAACCUGAUGGUGCCUUGGCAGCAAACCCACCAAGCCAGCAACCCUCUUAGACUGGGUUACGAAAGCUAGCGCUCUCUUAGCCCGGUUUUUAAAAUCAUAUGCCUGCUGGGAGACUGUGGGUCUCCCAGCCGGCAUCAGGGGAAUCCCCAUAAUGCAUUGCACAUUUGCAUGGUGCAUUAUGGGAGCUCCAGAGGCUGGGACGAAGCGUCUUAUCCUCCAAACCUCUGUGGCAACUGCUGGCAAUUGUAUGGAUGGGUGAUCCGCCCACCCAGGGAGAGUAGAGGGAUUGUCUGCCGGGAGGUAAGAGCAAGCAGCCUGCCUCCUCGCUCUCCCUCGAGCCCUUUCUCACUGAUCAUCAUGAUCUCACCGACCAUGAACCCCUCAUUUGUUCCAGGUGAGCCAGUCCCCUCUGCAAUCAGAACCAGUGGCUGUGAGGUGGAUGAUUAAAGGGAUAUUUGCCAGUCAAAGGGCAGCACAAGGCAGGCAGGGAUAGUGUCCAGGGCCUCACUGGGAGGCAUGGAAAGGGGGGGAUACAUUUGGCUCAACUUGGCUGUUUCAACAAACAGGUAUAUGACUGUCUGCAUAGCCUAUUUCCAGUUCUGCCUACAACUUGGACAGCUUGAACCACAGCUUCCCUGCUAUGUAUGAACCUGCCCAAUGUCUCUCACUGAAUAAAUGCUCAUAUUCACCUACAGUAGCUAAGAUUUCAGGAGGGCAGUGGGGAAACCUUCGAGACUUACCACUAAAUGUCAGAAACGGCUGCAUCAUCAAGCUUGUUUUGAAGAUAUAUCAACAUGGUUUGUAGAUGUCAUUGAUGUUUAUGAAGACAUGGAGGCUAUUUACAUGAUGGGCGGAAUUCGGGCUAAUGGAGGCUAGCCUGAUUUUCUCCCAUCGUGAGAACCACCAGGCUCAGCUGCGAGCCCGGCAGUUCUUAUGCGGGUAACCCGCUAAACUACCCCUGCCCUUAAACCAGGUUUGCAGAGCGAGUGCUCAGCAAACCCAUUUUUUAAAAUUGUGUGUUGCAGAGGCACAGCUCCACGCCGCGGCAACUUAUGAGGAGACCCCUGAUCGGGAGGCUGAAAAGCAGCCUUUCGGCUCGGGGGUCUCUCCAGCAUGCCCUGCGCACUUGCACAGGGCAUGCUGGAGCUUCCAAGGGCCGCGUGGCCCCCGAACUCCCAAGACCCCACCAGCUCCGUGACGGAGCUGGCAGUUGUGUGGGCGGCUGCUGCGGCUGCCUGGAGCAGACUGAUUGCACAUCUGCGGGGAGAGUGGGCUAAGCCCGCUCUCCCCGCUAACCCUCUCCAAGCAGUUCCCACUGAUCGUGGGGAACUGCCUCAUGGAAAUGACAUCUGGUCAAAAGCUAAAGAUGUGGUCCAGAAUCAUCAUCAAAGAUUGUGUCAUCAGGAUUGUCCUGGAUAUUUUCCAACAGCAAAUACUGACAUUUACCAGUAAACGAUGACUUUUGGCAAUUAUCAGAUAUUAUUGGUCGUCUUUUAUUGGUGCUGCUCCUGACUCUGUUUGCUAACUGACAUGUGCUUCAUCUCAUUUUAAGGAAUCUAUAGUAUCUGCAAUCUAAACAAAAUAAAUCAUUGGUGCCGAAGCUUAAAUGAGCAUAAGUUUAUAUUGUGUAAUCUUGAAAUAAACAACAAAAAAUAUAUAGCUCCUGUAAUUUAAUGAUCUACAACUGGCUGUGUUAAGCUCUCUCUCAGUCAAUUGAUGUCCAUGUGUACUAAAAUAUAUUUGGCAAAAAGUAUCCUGUUAUGAUGAGCUUU
Hemicordylus capensis (graceful crag lizard) is the source of this 3120-nucleotide long non-coding RNA. RefSeq lists it as uncharacterized. The transcript is spliced from 6 exons. The record is from RefSeq and is a predicted model, not a curated record. Lineage: Eukaryota; Metazoa; Chordata; Lepidosauria; Squamata; Cordylidae.